Prionailurus viverrinus (fishing cat) is the source of this 1364-nucleotide long non-coding RNA. RefSeq lists it as uncharacterized. The record is from RefSeq and is a predicted model, not a curated record. The transcript is spliced from 3 exons. NCBI's taxonomy places the organism in Eukaryota, Metazoa, Chordata, Mammalia, Carnivora, Felidae.
ACUUCGUUUCUAAACACCUCCUGCACUUUCAGCUUCAACAGCAAACAAAAACAAGAGCCUCGUGACCUCACGUUGGACCCGGGAGCCCAGACGAGCAGGGGACCCGGGGUCAGGCGGCAUGUCUGCUAUAGCGGUAAUCUCUGCACCCAACAUGCUGCUAGAACAUAUAACGCCAAGAUCAAGAGACCCGUGCUCCACCAACUGAGCCAGCCAGGCACUCCAGACAAGUCACCGUGUUGGCAGGGGUGAUUGAUCCCAAUCAUCGAGAGGAAGUUGGAAUUCUGUUACACAAUGGAAGAUGGAAGGACGAUGUUCGGCACCCAGUCAUUUUGAGGAUCAACGCAGUGUCAACACAAGGUUCCUGUUUUCUGCAAAGAACUAAAAAAGGCAACUUCCUAAGAAUUAAGGCUGAUAUACAAACAUAGAUUUAAAGUUGACAGGUCCCCGAGGAAGAUAUCUUAUUCCAGGUUCUCUAAAGCACCGAUCUCAAUGCUAUUGACAGGCAUGAACUAGCUCACUUCAAGCAUAUGAAGGGAAAACCAGAGCCUGACUUAAACUGUGCUGUACUGCAGGUGGUCAAAGGCAAAGAGACGCAGGAAGCAGGAAGGAAGGCAGAGGAACUGGAGGCCAGCCAGGAACAAGCUGGGAAUAGCCAGACUGCACUGCUCCUUAGUUACCAUGGGCUUUGUCCAGCCAGAUGUCCUAGCAUCUCCUUGGUUUUCUGCCUGAGGAAUCUGACUAUUCAUUCUGAAGUUAUCUUAAAUGCUGUCCACAUUCACAAAUACUCCUCAGAGGCCAAAUUCAUUUUUAAAUGUUCAUCCUAGCAAGAGAUUUUUUUUUACAUAGAUGGGGAUACAGCCUGGACCUAAAUAGAUUUAGGUUCAAGUCUCAUCAUUGUAAUUUACUACCUAAGUGAACUUAAGCAAUUGACUAGGAUUCUCUAAUCUUCAGCUUCCUCAUCUGCCCCAAAAUCGAGAUAAUUUACUCAAUAAAUGUUCACGUUUGAGUCCCUAUUACGUGACACGCUCAGAUUUGGAUGUUGAGAAUACAGAAGAAAACCACACAGGGUAGCUUCAUUCAAGUGAAGACGGAAGAGAAAUAAAUAGACAAGACAGUAUUGGAUGUUGAUAAAUGCUCGGAAGACAAUCCACCAAGUUGAUGUGCAAGAAGUGAUGGAGUUGCAGCAUCUUUGGAGGAGGAAGAAUUUGACAUUGGAGCUGAGACUGAGGACAAAAAGACAAGAAGAAACUCGCCUCGUGAAGAUUCGGGUGUGGAGCAUUCCAAUGAGAGGGAAAGAGAAUUUCAAAGGCCCUGAGGCGGAAGAAAGCGCUUGGUGUGUCCUUGGAAUAUAAAGAAGAUAUACA